CCUACGGGAGGCAGCAGUGAGGAAUAUUGGUCAAUGGGCGAGAGCCUGAACCAGCCAAGUCGCGUGAGGGAGUACUGCCCUAUGGGUUGUAAACCUCUUUUGUCGGGGAGCAAAAGCCGGACGUGUCCGGCUGUGAGAGUACCCGAAGAAAAAGCAUCGGCUAACUCCGUGCCAGCAGCCGCGGUAAUACGGAGGAUGCGAGCGUUAUCCGGAUUUAUUGGGGUUAAAGGGUGCGCAGGCGGAUUUUUAAGUCAGCGGUCAAAUCGUGGGGCUCAACCCCAUCCAGCCGUUGAAACUGGGGAUCUAGAGUGUGCGAGAGGUAUGCGGAAUGCGUGGUGUAGCGGUGAAAUGCAGAGAUAUCACGCAGAACCCCGAUUGCGAAGGCAGCAUACCGGUGCACAACUGACGCUCAGGCACGAAAGCGUGGGUAUCGAACAGGAUUAGAUACCCCGGUAGUC
This 458-nucleotide ribosomal RNA is filed under the name uncultured bacterium. RNAcentral's name for it is "partial 16S ribosomal RNA". It matches the Rfam family "Bacterial small subunit ribosomal RNA", at positions 338 to 795 of the family's 1533-position model. The record is from RNAcentral.